AGCUGCUUAGCUAAAAAAUGUUAAUCGGAAGAAGCAAAAGUGAAUGGCAUGGUGCCAGUAAGAUGGUAUCAAUAUGAUCUAGUCUCAAUUAAGUUAGUCGCAGACGAAAAAUAAAACCUGUAAACAAUUUCUCUCUAUAUUUACUUGUUCAAGUGCCAGUAAAACGAACGAUAGAAAAAAAGAAGCAUUCAG
This is a non-coding RNA of Hydra vulgaris (swiftwater hydra), 192 nucleotides long. The record is from RefSeq and is a predicted model, not a curated record. NCBI's taxonomy places the organism in Eukaryota, Metazoa, Cnidaria, Hydrozoa, Anthoathecata, Hydridae.